This 81-nucleotide microRNA precursor is filed under the name Columba livia (rock pigeon). RNAcentral describes it as "microRNA cli-mir-1a precursor (cli-mir-1a-1)". Its record names the gene cli-mir-1a-1. It matches the Rfam family "mir-1 microRNA precursor family". From Rfam's summary of the family: This family represents the microRNA (miRNA) mir-1 family. miRNAs are transcribed as ~70nt precursors (modelled here) and subsequently processed by the Dicer enzyme to give a ~22nt product. In this case the mature sequence comes from the 3' arm of the precursor. Lineage: Eukaryota; Metazoa; Chordata; Aves; Columbiformes; Columbidae. The record is from miRBase by way of RNAcentral.
CUGCUUGAGAGACAUACUUCUUUAUAUGCCCAUAUGAACCUGGGAAGCUAUGGAAUGUAAAGAAGUAUGUAUUUCAGGUGG